Molecule: non-coding RNA, 516 nt
Organism: Prunus mume (Japanese apricot)
Lineage: Eukaryota; Viridiplantae; Streptophyta; Magnoliopsida; Rosales; Rosaceae
Source: RefSeq, a predicted model, not a curated record
UAUUAUGCCUUUUAUAAUGGAAGCCAGGAGAGGGGAUUCUCUCUCUUUAUCUCUCUCACUUAUCUUUUUCUCCUUACCCAGAUUCUCUCUGCCAUCUCUAUCAAUUGUAAUCUCUAUCCAGAUUAACCAAUCAUGCCUUCUUAUGAGAAGGCCAUGCCUCUAGGCGGCCCUCUACCAAAAUUUGGCGACUGGGAUGUCAACGACCCUGCCACAGCUGAAGGAUUUACUGUCAUAUUCAACAAGGCCAGAGAUGACAGAAGGUCUGGCGCUGGAACUCCAUUGAUUCUGGCAGCACCAGACAAAUAUGAUGCCCGUAAAAAGAAGGACAAAUAUAAGUACUUCAAAAAGAGCAAAUGGCUUUGCUGUGGUUAAGACAAGAAAGAGAGAGAGAGAUGUUCUUGUUUUUCUCCUUCCCCAUUUAUUUCCUUUAAAUAUUGAUUGUUUGGCUCUUUUUUCCUUCAAGGAGAAUGAUGUACAUUGAAGAUUGAGUAAUAAAGUUCUAAUUUUUUUUUUUUU